This 460-nucleotide ribosomal RNA is filed under the name uncultured bacterium. Its description in RNAcentral is "partial 16S ribosomal RNA". It matches the Rfam family "Bacterial small subunit ribosomal RNA", at positions 338 to 795 of the family's 1533-position model. The record is from RNAcentral.
CCUACGGGGGGCAGCAGUGAGGAAUAUUGGUCAAUGGACGCAAGUCUGAACCAGCCAUGCCGCGUGCAGGAAGACGGCUCUAUGAGUUGUAAACUGCUUUUGUACGAGGGUAAACGCAGAUACGCGUAUCUUUCUGAAAGUAUCGUACGAAUAAGCAUCGGCUAACUCCGUGCCAGCAGCCGCGGUAAUACGGAGGAUUCAAGCGUUAUCCGGAUUUAUUGGGUUUAAAGGGUGCGUAGGCGGUUGAUUAAGUUAGAGGUGAAAUCUCGAGGCUCAACGUCGGAAUUGCCGCUGAUACUGGUCGGCUAGAGAGUAGUUGAGGUAGGCGGAAUGUAUGGUGUAGCGGUGAAAUGCUUAGAGAUCAUACAGAACACCGAUUGCGAAGGCAGCUUACCAAGCUACUUCUGACGCUGAGGCACGAAAGCGUGGGGAGCAAACAGGAUUAGAUACCCCAGUAGUC